This 94-nucleotide non-coding RNA is filed under the name Peptoniphilus duerdenii. RNAcentral's name for it is "SAM-I sequence". It matches the Rfam family "SAM riboswitch aptamer (S box leader)". Rfam says of the family: The SAM riboswitch is found upstream of a number of genes which code for proteins involved in methionine or cysteine biosynthesis in Gram-positive bacteria. The SAM riboswitch acts at the level of transcription termination control. The predicted structure consists of a complex stem-loop region followed by a single stem loop terminator region. The record is from RNAcentral. Lineage: Bacteria; Bacillati; Bacillota; Tissierellia; Tissierellales; Peptoniphilaceae. RNAcentral also lists the same sequence under 1 other name.
ACCUUAUUGAGAGGCAGAAGAGUGAAUGGGCACGUUGACACUGCCAGCAACCUUUAAAAGGUGCUAAAUCCUACGGGUGACCGAAAGAUAAGGA